CCUACGGGAGGCAGCAGUGGGGAAUAUUGGGCAAUGGAGGAAACUCUGACCCAGCAACGCCGCGUGAAGGAUGAAGGUUUUCGGAUUGUAAACUUCUGUUGCGAGGGAUGAAGAAUGACGGUACUUCGUGAGGGAGCCCCGGCAAACUACGUGCCAGCAGCCGCGGUAAUAGGUGGGGGGAAAGCGUUGUCCGGAUUGAUGGGGCGUAAAGGGAGGGUAGGCGGGCUUUAAGUUCUAUGUGAAAGCCCCCGGCUUAACCGAGGAGCUGCAUAUGAAACUGGGGGGCUGGAGUGCAGGAGAGGUAAGCGGAAUUUCUGGUGUAGCGGUGGAAUGCGUAGAUAUUAGGAAGAACACCGGAGGCGAAGGCGGCUUCCUGGACUGUAACUGACGCUGAGGCUCGAAAGCGUGGGGAGCAAACAGGAUUAGAUACCCUUGUAGUC
RNAcentral lists this ribosomal RNA (440 nucleotides) under uncultured bacterium. RNAcentral's name for it is "partial 16S ribosomal RNA". It matches the Rfam family "Bacterial small subunit ribosomal RNA", at positions 338 to 795 of the family's 1533-position model. The record is from RNAcentral.